GUGGGUUACUGUUUAUACUGAUUGCAUCACCCUUCAGAAGGCACUGUCAUAUUAAUAUUUAAAUUUUAUAAUCACUGAACUUAUUACACCCAACAAUACAGAAUGGCAGUUACACUGAAGAAUUUAAUUUAGAAUAAAAUGGAAGCAAACAGGUUUUCUAAAAAUUUUUUUUAACUGACCAGGUCUCACUCUGUCACCCAGGCUGGAGUGCAGUGGCAUGAUCUCACUGCAAGCUCCGCCUCCUGGGUUUAUGCCAUUCUCCUGCCUCAGCCUGAGUACCUGGGACUACAGGCGCACACCACCUCGCCCGGCUAGUGUUUUUGUAUUUUUUAGUAGAGACGGGGUUUCACCGGGUUAGCCAGGAUGGUCUCGAUCUCCUGACCUCAUGAUCCGCCCGUCUCGGCCUCCCAAAGUGCUGGGAUUACAGGCUUGAGCCACCACACCCGGCCACCACCCUCUUCUUAAACUCACAGUGUCUCAGCUCUACUAACCUGCUUUCUGUUCUUGAAAACAAGUUUAUUCUUGACUCAGGGCCUUUCUCUUGCUCUUCGUCACCUGGAAUGUACCUCUGAUUCAGAACACAGCUGCAUCCUUUUAGAUUUCAGUUGAAAUAUUUCCUUAUUAGAGAGGCCUUUCCUGGUCAGCCUACUUAAAGCAAUUCCACUGCCCUCCUCACUCUUUACCAAAUUAAACUGGUUUAUUUUCAUCUACCAUUUACUAUUAUCUAAAAUUAUGGCAAGUUGAUUACAUGUUUACACGUCUCCUCUGCAUUGAUAAAUGUAACUCCACGAGCUACAGAUAUUGUUUGCUUUAGCUAUCUUCUUCCCUAGAUGACCUUACAGCCAACAGAUGCUCAUUAGUUAAAUUGUGUUUUUCAGAUCCCUGAAUUCAGUCAGUUUGGCUUAGAAGGAAAACCUCUGAUGAACUAAUCUCACAAAAAUGUCAGUGUCUGCUCAUAAUUGAGUGUCACCUUUUCCGUGAGUCUGCGAAUUUGAGAGAAAUCCUGAGAAUACAUAAGAGAUAUAUGGUAAGAGAGUGAUCUCAGGAAGGGCUUUCCUGGAGCCCUUUUGUGACACCCUCCUAUCUGGGCUAUGCUUUGCUAUUUCUGUUUCAUGAGAGAAAAGCAAACUACCUUCUAAAAUCUACCCAUCAACAGAUAACCACGAAAGGAAUGUCUACCAAUGGUGUACUGGUAAAUGUUAAGCAACUGACUCUCCUGGACAAUAAGGUCUUAUUUGUAUGUAUCUUUUGCCUAUUUCCAUGGUGUAAAUACUCAUCCCAUGGUUAAAUUCCAGCAAACAAUCUGAAGUCACUGAACAUAGACUUGGAAGAAGCCAUGCACCAUUGCUCUCUCCAGCUGGCCCAAGAAGGCUCCAGCACACCACUGACAUCUACUAGGUGCCAAGAAUAAUGUGCGGCAUUUUAUGUUCAGUCUCUCCUAUCUUUGCACCAUGCUAAAAACUAAUUUGUCAGUUACCUGUGAGAGAUGAGGAAAUAAACUUGGGU
This 1506-nucleotide long non-coding RNA is filed under the name Papio anubis (olive baboon). RNAcentral's name for it is "lncRNA (ENSPANG00000043169.1)". Lineage: Eukaryota; Metazoa; Chordata; Mammalia; Primates; Cercopithecidae. The record is from RNAcentral.